Bactrocera dorsalis (oriental fruit fly) is the source of this 6330-nucleotide RNA transcript. It is a transcript of the gene named two pore potassium channel protein sup-9, with no coding region annotated. The record is from RefSeq and is a predicted model, not a curated record. NCBI's taxonomy places the organism in Eukaryota, Metazoa, Arthropoda, Insecta, Diptera, Tephritidae. The transcript is spliced from 2 exons.
GGCAAAAGUGUGCAAAAAAGUUGAGAAUAUUGGAAAAAUGGAUAGCAACAGUGCGACAUCUGUCAAAAAAUAGCAAAAAUCUGCCAUUUUUGAGCAGUGUUGCCUACUCAAAUUUGGUAAAAUCAACCAAAUGCACGGAAUUCUUGUGCAUUACAAACUUGCAUUAACAUGGGUCAAAUGCGCAAAUAAAUGUAAAUUAAGCCCGCUAAUGCCUAUUAGCGCUGUCGUCUGUCAGGGCUAUUACUCCUCAGUUGCACGAUCAAGAACCUGGUUUAAAGCACGCAGCUUGUUUAACAAAUCACAAAUAUUUUUUGUAGGCUUCUAAUGUAAAAUUGACUCUUAAAAUUAUUAGAAUGUUUAAAAUAAAACUGACCAAUUUAUGUUGAUAUUUUACAUACACAAUAAUUAUUUCUCAAUUUUCGUUCUUACUUUACUUUGGGUUAACAUAAAUGAAAACUAUGUAACUACUAAACUACUAAAUACCAAUAUAUACAACAACAACUCUAUCAACUAAGAAUAUUUACACAUAUACAUACAUACAUAAGUAUAUCAUUUUUCUUAGUUAGCUACUGUGCACUAAACUAUUUAUCAAAAUUUAUGAAAAUUGAAAGCCGUGACUUGAUAAUCGAUAAUAAUUUCAAGACACCAUCUUCAGGGAAACCAAGUAAAAUUCUUAAAAAUUUUCCGUGAAAUUAAUAAUAUAAUCUAUGAAAAUAACGAAAUAUUCACACUACCGACAAUAGCUUGUCAUUUAUUUGGAAAACUAUAUUAUCAGCAAUUUUAACUUGAUCGUCAACUUGCCCUACAACUGAUUUUAAUAGCCUCUAUUUGAGUCAUUUUGAGGCAAAAUUUCAAUUUGCGACUAGUUACUAUUCACUAAACAGUCUCUAGCGUUAGUUUCAAAAUAUUGAGACCUGGUAGUUAGCAGGUCACAAAACUAAAAAGAGCUCUUGUCUGCCAUUUUGAAUAUACUGUUACAAAAAGUAGUAUUAAGUUGUAUUUGUAUUACUAUAUGCAUCCCUGAUUAUGAACAAUAGCUGUAGGUAUAUGGAAUAGCAUUUGUCUUGUUGUAGACAUCUGGCGCCACACUGUCUGCUCGUCUAGUUAAACAAUUGCUGAGUCUGGCGCCGCGACUGUCUGCUUGCGUCUGGCGCCGUAUAGCCGUAUGUUCUGGUAAUUUCCAGACGCGAUAUUCUAGAAGGACACGUCGGCAUCAGCGAGAAGUGCGUGGCUAUAUAAGCCGUGGCAGCGCCAACGUAAUCAAUCAGUGUUAAGAGUAAACUCCUAUAGUGUAGACGAGUUGUGAAAUAAAGAGUUGUUGAAUUAAAUUAAACAGUGUUGAUUUUAUUUGUCAAUCCAGAGAUACGAACCUAACAAAGUAAACUAGCAAGAGUAAAUUCGUAACAAUUGGUGUCAGAAGUGGGAUUGUCAAAUAAUCCAAAUUCAAGAUGGUUAAAUUCGGAGAAUUGAGAAUUCAGCAAUUAAAAAAAGAACUGGAGGAGCGUAAUUUGCCGAUAAGCGGGCAAAAGGCGGAUCUGCAGGCACGAUUACGUGAAGCAAUGGAAGCGGAUGGAAUUAAUGUGGACGAGUUCGAAUUUAAUGGGCCAGAAACUUCUACAAAGGUAGAAGAAAAAGUAGAAGAACAACGAACAUCAUCGAGUGUGGACAUGAACAUGCUGUUAGUGGCUAUUAAGCAAAUAAUAGCUGAAAAUACAUCACAAAUAGCAGAAAAUGCAGUGCAAACAGAAAAUCGUCUGGCACAGCAAAUAGCUGAAAAUAUAUCACGAAUAACAGAAAAUGUAGUGCAAACAGAAAAUCGUCUGGCACAGCAAAUGACGCAAAUAGCUGAAAAUACAUCACAGUUAGAGUCUCGCCUUACACAACAGAUUACAGAAAAUACUACACAAGUACAAAAACAAGUGCAAGAGAAAUUUUCAAAAUUUGAAGACGAAUUAAGCACUUUAAAAAAUGACGAAGAAAAUUUAAAAGCAGAAGUUCUUCAAUUAAGUAAUCGUGUGCGAGAACUGCAAUUGCAUGGCCCUGCACCAUCGACAAAUAAUCAAAGAUUGAAGGCACCCACAUUCGAUGGAAGUAUUCCAUUUCAAAUUUUCAAACUUCAGUUUGAAAAGACAGCAAUGGCCAAUAACUGGAAUGCAGCGGACAAAGUGGCGUCCUUGUUUGUAUCAUUGAAAGGACCUGCGGCAGAAAUCCUUCAGACUAUUCCAGAUUGUGAACGGGACAACUAUGAGGCAUUGAUGAGUGCGAUAGAAAGACGAUAUGGUAGUGAGCACCGGAAACAAAUAUACCAGAUCGAACUGCAAAAUAGGGGUCAGAAGAUGAACGAGUCAUUGCAAGAGUUCGCAACUGAAAUAGAACGGCUGGCUCAUUUGGCAAAUGCAGAUGCACCUGUGGAUUACAUUGAGAGGGUAAAAAUUCAAAGCUUCAUAAAUGGAAUUCGUGAUGUGGACACCAAACGCGCCACAUAUGCAUUGCCAAAAAGAACGUUUGCUGAAACGGUUUCGCACGCCCUCACACAGGAAACAGCUUCCCUACUAAGUAAACCAGCACACAAAGUACAAAGGGUUGAAAUGGAACAACCGGCGCUGAUGGAGGAAAUAUUGAAGACUCUGAAGACAAUUGCUGCACAGCGAGUAAAUACAACAGGCAGAUGUUUCAACUGUGGAAAAGCGGGUCACUUUGCCCGAAAUUGCAAGAUAAAAGUAAACCCAUCAAAAUGGAAACAACCAACAGAACACCGAAAGAGGAUUCACCAUAAAAAUGCGGAUGCAUUAUCACAUCGCCCUUGUCCACUGGAAUUUAAACAUUGCUCCAAAUCAGAAGGAAAAGAAGGUAUAAUCGACGUGCGAUCACUGAAUAUAGAACCUGAAGAUGAUUGGACUCCUCACCGCAUCAGAAUUAAUCAGCUGGAGGACCCUGAUCUUGCAAAACUGAUAAUAGCCAAAGAAAAUGGGGUACGACCACCAAAGGAACAAAUAAGUAACGAGAGUCCAACUGCAAAAGCAUAUUGGGCCCAAUGGAACAGCAUAAACCUCGUUAAUGGAUACCUUCAUCGUACCUGGGAAAGCGAAGAUGGCAAACAUUCUCGUCUGCUGAUCAUAGUACCGAAGUCCAUGAUCCCAAAAGUAUUGAAAGAAUAUCACAAUGGACCUAGUGGAGGGCACCUUGGAAUAACAAAAACUAUAGAGAAGAUUAAACAACGGUUCUACUGGAUCGGUUGUCGAGAUUCCAUAGCAGAAUGGAUAAGUAAUUGCGUAGAGUGCAUGGCAGCUAAAGGUCCUAAAGCCAAAAGUCGCGGUAGGCUACAACAGUACAACGUGGGAUCACCAUUUGAACGAGUCGCAAUGGAUAUUGCAGGUCCGUUUCCAACCAGUACGGCCGGAAACAAAUAUCUACUGGUUGUCAUGGACUAUUUCAGUAAAUGGCCAGAAGUAUAUGCCUUACCAAACCAGGAAGCGAAGACAGUAGCCGAAGCGUUUGUAGAAAAUUGGAUAACAAGGUUCGGAGUGCCCGUCGAAUUACACUCAGAUCAAGGCAGGAAUUUCGAAUCUUCCAUUUUCCAAGAAGUCUGUACAUUAUUGGGCAUCCACAAGACACGGACAACAGCGUUACACCCACAAUCAGAUGGGAUGGUAGAGAGAUUCAACCGAACGCUCGAAGAACAUCUGCGGAAAAUCGUUGGUAAAGACCAACGGAAUUGGGACAAGUGCAUCCAGAUGUUCCUGCUGGCGUAUCGUUCAGCGAAGCACGAGACAACUGGUUACACGCCAGCAAAGAUUAUUUUCGGAUCUGAUCUGCGACUCCCUGCUGAUCUUAAGUUUGGUACGAAUCCUACAGCUGUAAGAAAUGAUGGAGAUUAUUGUUCUGCCUUAAAGGAAGAAAUGAAUGAAUUGCAUCUAAUGGUAAGACAGCAUACGCAUCUGAUGAGCAAUAAGAUGAAGGACCGGUUCGAUCAAGCGGCAAAUUCAAAAGGUUUUGAAGAAGGUGAUCUGGUCCUGUUGUACAAUCCACUUCGAAAGAAAGGCUUGUCCCCGAAAUUGCAGACAGCCUGGGAAGGACCCUAUAUGGUGAUGAAACGACUUAAUGACGUGGUAUACCGCAUACAAAGAAAUGGGAAAGCACGAUGUAAAAUGAAAGUAGUACAUUUGGAGAGGCUCGCCCCAUUUGGUUCAAGAGGAUUUGUGCCUAAUCGGGACGAUUAGGCUUUAGUGGAGGGCAGUGUUACAAAAAGUAGUAUUAAGUUGUAUUUGUAUUACUAUAUGCAUCCCUGAUUAUGAACAAUAGCUGUAGGUAUAUGGAAUAGCAUUUGUCUUGUUGUAGACAUCUGGCGCCACACUGUCUGCUCGUCUAGUUAAACAAUUGCUGAGUCUGGCGCCGCGACUGUCUGCUUGCGUCUGGCGCCGUAUAGCCGUAUGUUCUGGUAAUUUCCAGACGCGAUAUUCUAGAAGGACACGUCGGCAUCAGCGAGAAGUGCGUGGCUAUAUAAGCCGUGGCAGCGCCAACGUAAUCAAUCAGUGUUAAGAGUAAACUCCUAUAGUGUAGACGAGUUGUGAAAUAAAGAGUUGUUGAAUUAAAUUAAACAGUGUUGAUUUUAUUUGUCAAUCCAGAGAUACGAACCUAACAAAGUAAACUAGCAAGAGUAAAUUCGUAACAAUACUGAAUAGAGAUCAUUAUAGAUAUUAAUCGAUUGUCGUUUCUUUAUAUUUUGUAAGCAACUCAAACACGAAAAGAUGAAAAAUAAAUAAAUUUUACAUAAAUUUCGUAAAUAUUAUGAAACAAAGUCAACAUAUAUUUUUAUUUUUAUUGAUAAUUAUGUUUUUUGACUAUGUUAUAAAAAAUUUGAUAUUUGUUAUCGACGUAUUUAUUUUCAUUCAAGUGUAAAAACAUCAGAAUAGCAACAUCGUCUCAAGUCUCAAAAAUCGUCUCUAACUUAAAAUCUCAAAUUUAGAGACUUGAAACUGUCUCACAUUACAGAAUCGCACGGUUAUAGCCCUGACAGACGAGCAAAAUUAAUGCGCCUUAAUCAACUCUAAUACGCAUUGAAAUUUUAUGGUGACAGACGGCAGGCUUGUGCAUUUAGACAGCUGAUAGUGAAAUUUGUUUCUUUAUUAAAAAAAAAGUGAAAUAAAAAUGAAUAAGAUAAAUUUUUUUUUUUGUUAAUAUACUUGCACAUAAUUUAAUUAGUAAUAUAAAACUGCUUACCUCUGAUGCUGUAAACGCAAAAGAGGCAAAAGUGUGGAAAAAAGUUAAGAAUAUUGGAAAAAUAGAUAGCAACAGUGCGACAUCUGUCAAUAAAUAGCAAAAAUCGCCCAUUUUUGAUCAGAGUUGCCUACUCAAAUUUAGUAAAAUCAACCAAAUGCACGGAAUUCUUAUGCAUUACAAACUUGCAUUAACAUGGGUCAAAUGCACAAAUAAAUGUCAAUUAAGCCCGCUAAUGCAUAUUAGCGCUGUCGUCUGUCAGGGCUAUUACACUUUCUGUGCAAAAAUAUUAAUUAUAACCACUACACAAAGAUUUGUGAGUAAAAUAUUAAAAGAAGAAUACAAAUAAAAUAAAUGUUUCCCCUUUUAACGAAUACAUUUUUAGAUUUAAAGCAUUAGUCGAUUUAAAAACAAGUAAAAUUGUUCGAAAUCAGUAUUAUUAAAAAAGAGCUGUACAUAUUAUGAUGUAAUUAUUCUUUGUUUCGUUUGCAUAAUAUAAAGAUAUGGUAACGCCAUUUGCUGGUAUACAACUGUAUUCCUUCGUUCUUGUAAAAACUAUUUGUUGUUGUCUGUAUAAAUUGAAGUGAAUGCAAAGCGAAAUAUUAAAUAAAAGUUGUUUUUAGAGAUAAUUAAUACAAAACAAAAAACAAUACAAACAAUUUAGUGAGGUCUUAAUUUAUGAAAAGUGUAUAAUAUGUAGAAGUGUAAAUCUCAAUAAUACUUAAUUGAAAUUGGUGAAUUUAUGAAUUUUAAAUACAAAUAUCUGAAAACUAAGAUCGUGGGAGCUACAUACAUAUAUAUAUGUAUAUAUGCAUAGAAAUAUUUGUAUAUAUAUUAAUACAAUAACAUGAAAAGGCAAAAUGUUCGUACCCUAUCCUUGGUCGUUUGUACGUUUACAUAUUUGCUUAUUGGUGCGGCUGUAUUCGACUCACUGGAAUCACACACAGAAGCGAAGAGAUGGGAUUUUCUGCAAGGUUGGCAUUCCGUUGGGCCUCGUCAUGUUCCAGUCGAUUGGAGAACGUUUAAAUAAGUUCGCUUCAGUAAUAAUACGACGAGCGAAACGUUAUAUGCACUGCACUCAAACCGAGGCAACUGAAAUGAAUUUAAUGUUAG